RNAcentral lists this ribosomal RNA (396 nucleotides) under uncultured bacterium. RNAcentral describes it as "partial 16S ribosomal RNA". It matches the Rfam family "Bacterial small subunit ribosomal RNA", at positions 523 to 916 of the family's 1533-position model. The record is from RNAcentral.
AUACGUAGGGUGCGAGCGUUGUCCGGAAUUACUGGGCGUAAAGAGCGCGUAGGCGGUUUGUUGCGUCGUCUGUGAAAUUCCGGGGCUUAACUCCGGGCGUGCGGGCGAAACGGGCAGACCUUGGGUCCUGUAAGGGAGACGGGAAUUCCUGGUGUAGCGGUGAAUUGCGCAGAUAUCAGGAAGAACACCGGGGGCGAAGGGGGCUCUCUGGUACGUAACCGACGCUGAGACGCGAAAGCGUGGGGAGCAAACAGGAUUAGAUACCCUGGUAGUCCACGCCGUAAACGAUGGGUGCUAGGUGUGGGCGGUGUCGACUCCGUCCGUGCCGAAGCUAACGCAUUAAGCACCCCGCCUGGGGAGUACGGCCGCAAGGCUAAAACUCAAAUGAAUUGACGG